UGGCCAAGAGGCGAGGACCUGAUAGCUGUUAGCACGUAGUCUAACGCACCCAGCCCGGCCUGCAACUCCUCUUGAGGGGACGAGAUUAACCACGUGGGAGCAGACACUCGUAGGGCGUUGGUGUUUCAAUUUUUUGACCACACGGGGAAAACACCAGAGAAAGACCCCCAACGGUUAUUUAGACCCCUAACCCCAGGACGGUUUAGGGUUUGAGAAUACCGAGACUACUCCCA
Molecule: long non-coding RNA, 233 nt
Filed under: Theobroma cacao (cacao)
Lineage: Eukaryota; Viridiplantae; Streptophyta; Magnoliopsida; Malvales; Malvaceae
Description: long non-coding RNA (TCAC_LNC005237)
Source: RNAcentral